CUGGCCUUGACAUCCAGAGAACUUUCCAGAGAUGGAUUGGUGCCUUCGGGAACUCUGAGACAGGUGCUGCAUGGCCGUCGUCAGCUCGUGUCGUGAGAUGUUGGGUUAAGUCCCGUAACGAGCGCAACCCCUAUCCCUGGUUGCUAGCAGGUAAUGCUGAGAACUCCAGGGAGACUGCCGGUGACAAACCGGAGGAAGGUGGGGAUGACGUCAGGUCAUCAUGGCCCUUACGGCCAGGGCUACACACGUGCUACAAUGGCGCGUACAGAGGGCUGCCAACUCGCGAGAGUGAGCCAAUCCCUUAAAACGCGUCGUAGUCCGGAUCGGAGUCUGCAACUCGACUCCGUGAAGUCGGAAUCGCUAGUAAUCGCGUAUCAGAAUGUCGCGGUGAAUACGUUCCC
Molecule: ribosomal RNA, 401 nt
Filed under: uncultured bacterium
Lineage: Bacteria
Description: bacterial SSU rRNA
Rfam family: Bacterial small subunit ribosomal RNA
Source: RNAcentral